UCCUCGGUAGCUCAGUGGUAGAGCAAACGGCUGUUAACCGUUCGGUCGCUGGUUCGAGUCCAGCCCGGGGAGCCA
This 75-nucleotide transfer RNA is filed under the name Rickettsia helvetica. RNAcentral describes it as "tRNA-Asn(gtt)". It matches the Rfam family "tRNA". From Rfam's summary of the family: Transfer RNA (tRNA) molecules are approximately 80 nucleotides in length. Their secondary structure includes four short double-helical elements and three loops (D, anti-codon, and T loops). Lineage: Bacteria; Pseudomonadati; Pseudomonadota; Alphaproteobacteria; Rickettsiales; Rickettsiaceae. The record is from RNAcentral. RNAcentral also lists the same sequence under 10 other names.